GACGAACGCUGGCGGCGUGCUUAACACAUGCAAGUCGAACGGUAAGGCCCUUCGGGGUACACGAGUGGCGAACGGGUGAGUAACACGUGGGUGAUCUGCCCUGCACUUCGGGAUAAGCCUGGGAAACUGGGUCUAAUACCGGAUAGGACUCCUGCCUGCAUGGGUGGGGGUGGAAAGCUUUUGCGGUGUGGGAUGGGCCCGCGGCCUAUCAGCUUGUUGGUGGGGUGAGGGCCUACCAAGGCGACGACGGGUAGCCGGCCUGAGAGGGUGACCGGCCACACUGGGACUGAGAUACGGCCCAGACGCCUACGGGAGGCAGCAGGGGGGAAUAUUGCACAAUGGGCGCAAGCCUGAUGCGGCGACGCCGCGUGAGGGAUGACGGCCUUCGGGUUGUAAACCUCUUUCAGCACAGACGAAGCGCAAGUGACGGUAUGUGCAGAAGAAGGACCGGCCAACUACGUGCCAGCCGCCGCCGUAA
This 478-nucleotide ribosomal RNA is filed under the name uncultured bacterium. Its description in RNAcentral is "partial 16S ribosomal RNA". It matches the Rfam family "Bacterial small subunit ribosomal RNA", at positions 28 to 523 of the family's 1533-position model. The record is from RNAcentral.